RNAcentral lists this long non-coding RNA (608 nucleotides) under Setaria italica (foxtail millet). Its description in RNAcentral is "long non-coding RNA (SITA_LNC002648)". The record is from RNAcentral. Lineage: Eukaryota; Viridiplantae; Streptophyta; Magnoliopsida; Poales; Poaceae.
CCCCUCCGCAACCAAAUCGAAGCAGAGCAGCAGCAGAGAAGAGGAGGCUCUACAUUGGAAGGCUCUCUGAAACUUGAUGAGGACAGGUCAGUGCUGCCAUUCAUGCGUAAUUGCAUUCAUUUAUUCUUAUGUCAGGGUAUAGACAUAAAAGACCUUACAGAUUAGAGAUCCUACACCAUGAAUUACAUGUCAAUAUAUAGUUUGAUCAGAUUUUGAGGGUACAGUUGGUUGUGAGCAUGCAAUGCUAUUACACAAUUCUGAAACCUGACAAAAUUCAAGUUGCACAUUCCACUAUCCCAGCAGCAGGAGGUCUCAUGAAAUUCAGACAAUUCAGAAUUUCUUCCACCUAAUGGCAGUUCAUGCAAAGAUGAUGGACAUGGACCGCAAGGGACAAACAUGUUGCCAUGAGUGCUCCCGUCUUUCACUAAACAGUGUAGGUGCACCUUGACACAAACCCGGCCUCUUUCUUUUCAGCUGAGAAGUGGAUGACUUUGUAUACGGGAGGAAGGCUUCGUAGUCGUAGCUAUGCUGGAACGUUCAUUCUUUGGCGCAGAAGCAGCAGGACCUGAAGAUGAGUAAGCCACACUUCCCCCUGAUGGUGCCCUCGC